RNAcentral lists this ribosomal RNA (492 nucleotides) under uncultured bacterium. RNAcentral describes it as "partial 16S ribosomal RNA". It matches the Rfam family "Bacterial small subunit ribosomal RNA", at positions 29 to 507 of the family's 1533-position model. The record is from RNAcentral.
AGUGAACGCUGGCGGCAGGCCUAACACAUGCAAGUCGAACGGCAGCACAGUAAGAGCUUGCUCUUACGGGUGGCGAGUGGCGGACGGGUGAGGAAUACAUCGGAAUCUACUUUUUCGUGGGGGAUAACGUAGGGAAACUUAUGCUAAUACCGCAUACGACCUACGGGUGAAAGCAGGGGAUCUUCGGACCUUGCGCGACUGAAUGAGCCGAUGUCGGAUUAGCUAGUUGGCGGGGUAAAGGCCCACCAAGGCGACGAUCCGUAGCUGGUCUGAGAGGAUGAUCAGCCACACUGGAACUGAGACACGGUCCAGACUCCUACGGGAGGCAGCAGUGGGGAAUAUUGGACAAUGGGCGCAAGCCUGAUCCAGCCAUACCGCGUGAGUGAAGAAGGCCUUCGGGUUGUAAAGCCCUUUUGUUAGGAAAGAAAAGCUGCAGGUGAAUACCCCGCUGUUCUGACGGUACCCAAAGAAUAAGCACCGGCUAACUUCGUG